CCAUGGAGUUGCAAAGAGUCAGACACGACUGAGUGACUGAACUGAACUGAUCUUAACUGAACUGAAAGCUUGAGAACAUGUCAAAGCAUAGGAAAGAAAGAAGGACACAAGAGAUGGAUUUAUGACAUUAAAAAAAAAAUCACUGUUACACAUAGUAAACCAAAGGGGAGAUUACGUGAAACAAAAUAGUGAAGAAAUAGGCAUCCAUGAAAGAAAAUUUUAUAAAGUGAUUACUUUACAUUUUCAGAUCUGGAUUUAGGAAAUUCUUACUGCAAACAGCUCUAAGAAUAAUUCAUGGAUUUACCAACUACCUAUUUCAUAGCAUUUCUGAGUUUGAAUUAACUACAUUCUUCAGUUUGACCAUUUUUAAAAAGUGUUUACUGGAGUUUGUGAUUGCUAUGCAAGAAUAACUCUAUACCUUAUGGGUUCCUGCAGUUUUCUGCAGCUUCCCAAACUGUAUCUGAUUCAGCUUCUUGUGAAAUCUCCACAUGUCUUUCUUUGGGAGCAAUUAAGAGACAGGCAUUUUGUUCUGAAUAGUCUUUUAUAAAAGUUCUAUUUGUUUAUAUUGAAUCUCCUUGGAUUUAAAUUUAGACAUAAUUAAAAUUUUGACAAUGUAUUUUUCAGAGAAUUUUUCUAAACUGUGUGAUUCCUGUUUUGUUAGACCUGUACCCUGCUUUGAAUGUUGCCUCUGAAGGAAAGAAUUAUGUCUCUGUUCAAAUUCUUGGUUUGACCCUUAGCAGAUCACUCACUAGCAAAUGCGAAUAAGUGGUGAAAGCCACAGGACGAAUUCUAUGACCAGGCCUCUCCGGACAAGAGGACCGAAGCAGACGGCAACUCUGACCCCAACUCUGGUGAGUCCCCUUACAAACUUUGCUUGGAGAUUUUCUGGUUUUCUGUUGUGCCCUUGAAUUUUGACAGUAAUCCCGGAGAGCAAGUAAAUGGACAUUCAGUUGUUUUUUGCUGCCUUUAUUGUUGUUUUAAUAUAUUUUUAAAUAGAUCUAACAUGCUUGACAUAUUGGCUGUUAAAUUGUACCGUACACCUUUAGUUUCUGAACCAUGAAAAAUUAAAGAAAAAAAAUGCUGCAGAUGCAAUUGCAAGAAGCCACUUUUUUUUGCAUGACAUCUACAUGUCAAAGAUAUUAAAAUAGGAAGACUUUUUUAGAGUUUAGAAUUGAUACAACAUAGUUAAGUGGACAUAGUCAAUGACAGAAAAGAAAAAAAGUAUCCUGUGGAAUUCUAUUUUCCAGUAAGGACUUUAUAUGGUGAUUGAAACAAGUAUGAAGAGGAGUGAUAGUGAUAUGAAGGUUUUACUUUUUUACCUAUUUAAUUUUGUAUGAUUCUUUAGU
RNAcentral lists this long non-coding RNA (1346 nucleotides) under Capra hircus (goat). Its description in RNAcentral is "lncRNA (ENSCHIG00010009010.1)". Lineage: Eukaryota; Metazoa; Chordata; Mammalia; Artiodactyla; Bovidae. The record is from RNAcentral.